GACGAACGCUGGCGGCGUGCUUAACACAUGCAAGUCGAACGGUAAGGCCCUUCGGGGUACACGAGUGGCGAACGGGUGAGUAACACGUGGGUGAUCUGCCCUGCACUUCGGGAUAAGCAUGGGAAACUGGGUCUAAUACCGGAUAGGACCCUGGGAUGCAUGUCCUGGGGUGGAAAGCUUUUGCGAUGUGGGUUGGGCCCGCGGGGUAUCAGCUUGGUGGGGGGGUGAUGGCCUACCAAGGCGACGACGGGUAGCCGGCCUGAGAGGGUGCCGGGCACCGCUGGGACUGGGAUACGGCCCAGACGCCUGCGGGAGGCGACACUGGGGAAGAUUGCACAAUGGGCGCAAGCCUGAUGCAGCGACGCCGCGUGAGGGAUGACGGCCUUCGGGUUGUAAGCCUCUUUCAGCACCGACGAAGCGCAAGUGACGGUAGGUGCAGAAGAAGGACCGGCCAACUACGUGCCAGCCGCCGCGGUAA
RNAcentral lists this ribosomal RNA (478 nucleotides) under uncultured bacterium. RNAcentral's name for it is "partial 16S ribosomal RNA". It matches the Rfam family "Bacterial small subunit ribosomal RNA", at positions 28 to 523 of the family's 1533-position model. The record is from RNAcentral.